UACGUAGGGGGCAAGCGUUGUCCGGAUUUAUUGGGCGUAAAGAGCGUGUAGGCGGUCUGGUAGGUCCGUUGUGAAAACUCGAGGCUCAACCUCGAGACGCCGAUGGAAACCAUCAGACUAGAGUCCGGAAGAGGAGAGUGGAAUUCCUGGUGUAGCGGUGAAAUGCGCAGAUAUCAGGAAGAACACCCGUGGCUAAGGCGGCUCUCUAGUACGGUACUGACGCUGAGACGCGAAAGCGUGGGGAGCGAACAGG
RNAcentral lists this ribosomal RNA (253 nucleotides) under uncultured bacterium. RNAcentral describes it as "partial 16S ribosomal RNA". It matches the Rfam family "Bacterial small subunit ribosomal RNA", at positions 524 to 776 of the family's 1533-position model. The record is from RNAcentral.